Molecule: ribosomal RNA, 253 nt
Filed under: uncultured bacterium
Lineage: Bacteria
Description: partial 16S ribosomal RNA
Rfam family: Bacterial small subunit ribosomal RNA
Source: RNAcentral
UACGUAGGGGGCGAGCGUUGUCCGGAUUUAUUGGGCGUAAAGGGCUCGUAGGCGGUCUGUCACGUCGGGGGUGAAAACACGGGGCUUAACCCCGUGCCUGCUUCCGAUACGGGCAGACUAGAGGUAUGCAGGGGAGAACGGAAUUCCUGGUGUAGCGGUGAAAUGCGCAGAUAUCAGGAGGAACACCGGUGGCGAAGGCGGUUCUCUGGGCAUUACCUGACGCUGAGGAGCGAAAGUGUGGGGAGCGAACAGG